RNAcentral lists this ribosomal RNA (645 nucleotides) under Escherichia coli. RNAcentral's name for it is "partial 23S ribosomal RNA". It matches the Rfam family "Bacterial large subunit ribosomal RNA", at positions 592 to 1238 of the family's 2925-position model. Lineage: Bacteria; Pseudomonadati; Pseudomonadota; Gammaproteobacteria; Enterobacterales; Enterobacteriaceae. The record is from RNAcentral.
UGUGACUGCGUACCUUUUGUAUAAUGGGUCAGCGACUUAUAUUCUGUAGCAAGGUUAACCGAAUAGGGGAGCCGAAGGGAAACCGAGUCUUAACUGGGCGUUAAGUUGCAGGGUAUAGACCCGAAACCCGGUGAUCUAGCCAUGGGCAGGUUGAAGGUUGGGUAACACUAACUGGAGGACCGAACCGACUAAUGUUGAAAAAUUAGCGGAUGACUUGUGGCUGGGGGUGAAAGGCCAAUCAAACCGGGAGAUAGCUGGUUCUCCCCGAAAGCUAUUUAGGUAGCGCCUCGUGAAUUCAUCUCCGGGGGUAGAGCACUGUUUCGGCAAGGGGGUCAUCCCGACUUACCAACCCGAUGCAAACUGCGAAUACCGGAGAAUGUUAUCACGGGAGACACACGGCGGGUGCUAACGUCCGUCGUGAAGAGGGAAACAACCCAGACCGCCAGCUAAGGUCCCAAAGUCAUGGUUAAGUGGGAAACGAUGUGGGAAGGCCCAGACAGCCAGGAUGUUGGCUUAGAAGCAGCCAUCAUUUAAAGAAAGCGUAAUAGCUCACUGGUCGAGUCGGCCUGCGCGGAAGAUGUAACGGGGCUAAACCAUGCACCGAAGCUGCGGCAGCGACACUAUGUGUUGUUGGGUAGGGGAGCG